This 429-nucleotide ribosomal RNA is filed under the name uncultured bacterium. Its description in RNAcentral is "bacterial SSU rRNA". It matches the Rfam family "Bacterial small subunit ribosomal RNA", at positions 355 to 776 of the family's 1533-position model. The record is from RNAcentral.
UAGGGAAUCUUCCACAAUGGGCGCAAGCCUGAUGGAGCAACACCUCGUGAGUGAAGAAGGGUUUCGGCUCGUAAAGCUCUGUUGUUGGAGAAGAACGUGCGUGAGAGUAACUGUUCACGCAGUGACGGUAUCCAACCAGAAAGUCACGGCUAACUACGUGCCAGCAGCCGCGGUAAUACGUAGGUGGCAAGCGUUAUCCGGAUUUAUUGGGCGUAAAGCGAGCGCAGGCGGUUGCUUAGGUCUGAUGUGAAAGCCUUCGGCUUAACCGAAGAAGUGCAUCGGAAACCGGGCGACUUGAGUGCAGAAGAGGACAGUGGAACUCCAUGUGUAGCGGUGGAAUGCGUAGAUAUAUGGAAGAACACCAGUUGCGAAGGCGGCUCUCUGGACUGUAACUGACACUGAGGCACGAAAGCGUGGGGAGCAAACAGG